GUAGAGGUGAAGAACAGUAAGGUCUCCCCUGAGCCUCCUCCUCUCCAGGCUGAACAAUCCCAAUUCCUUCAGCCGCUCUUCACAAGUCUUGUGCUCCAGACCCCUCACCAGCUUCACUGCUACUCUCUGGACAUGCUCCAGGACCUCGAUGUCUUUCAUGUAGUGAGGUACCCAAAACCAAACACAGUACUCAAGUUGCAGCCUCACCAGUGCCAAGUACAGAGGAACAAUCACUUCCCUGAUCCUGCUGACUACACUAUUUCUGAUGCAAGCCAAGAUCUCACUGGUCUUCUUAGCCACCUGGGCACAAUGCUGACUCAUGUUACAAGUAAUACCCGUAGAUUCCCCCCCCCAUUGCUGCGGAGACCAGUCUCGGAGCAGGCGUUCUACGGUCCUCCCAGAACUGAAGUUUGUAUCCUCUGGUUUAUGGAAAAUUUUGUGCCUGUGGCAACCGAAAUGAGUGGAAGGAGAAGCGCUGUUAUUUUCUGUGGAAGCAUUUUCUGGAAACCAGAUAUGAGGGGUUUUUUAUUUCAAAAUAAAUUGAUAAAACAGAUAUAAAAACAAUGCAGAGUAAUAUAGAAUGGUAUUAUUGUCAGUCUGACAGGUAAACAAGGUUUCUCAACAACUUAUUCAUUAUUCAGUAUUAUUGCUGCAACUCACUGAAGUAAUUUUAUCUUCUUGCUCUUAAAUACAUAGUCUUGAGAAGAACAAUCCAAAUUCUUAACUGUAUCGUCAAAAUGCUUGUAUGCAAAUGAAGGAAAAGAAUAUCAUAAGGAUUAGUCAACAUGGAUUCACCAAGGGGAAGUAAAUUCCCUUCCUCCCUUCCUCCCUCCCUUCCUUCCUUCCUUUCUCCCUUCCUCCCUUCCUCCCUUCCUUCCCUCAGUCACAGCCUCUAAGAAGAACUACAUAUGCAUACAUAUAUAGGCAUGUGUAUACACUAAUACGUACUUCCAACCUCCUUCAAGUUUUUUUUCUAAAUGAAUUUAUAAUCCACUAGAAUAACCCCAACAGCAAAAUUGUAUUAAACAAGUUGUGUAAAUCAAGUGAACGUUUACAGUACAGUUCAGUCAUAUAUAACCCAUUACAAUAAUAUUUAAUAAAAUGGAGAUUAUGAAACAAAAGGGCAAAACUGGGCAGUCGACAGAUGGAGGGAGCAGCAGGAGAGGCAACAUUAGCAUUCCGCAAGUCAACUUGGCAACAGUAAGUUAAUACUAGUAAGUCAAUGGAUCAACAGGCGACAGAAGGGCAUUCAGGCUUUCAACAAUACCUGACUGUACAUUCAAUUAUUGCAAUUUAGAACUUUCUCUCUUUCAUAUCUAUCUUAGUAAUUAGAUUUUUUUUUUUUUUUUUUUUUAGGAAUAAUGAUAUUUCUUUCAGGCUAGCAGCCUAUGGAUAAGUAUUUCAAAAACUAACACAGAGAACCUUGUCAAUACAUCCCAAUCAUGAUUUAAAAUGUAUAAAAUCAUGACAGUGAAAUAAUUUGUAGAAUUACAAGGGGUGGUAGAACAUUCUAUGGUGUAGCUGUAUAGCAACCUAUCCCAAACAAACCUAAAAAUGCCCCAAUUCUGUUGUAAUUCUGUUAAUCCAUUUUAUAUAUUUGAAUAUAUUAGCCAGGUGUUUGGGAAAUUUAUCAUUUAGCUGUUGUGUUUUAACACUGAUAGACGACUAAUUUGCAGCCAGGCACUUUCUCAUUUCUCCUCCUCAGAAGGAUGGAAGGAGUAGAAAAUGAUAGGAAAGUACUUGUGGGUUUAAGAUAGUGCCACAGUUUUAUGAUUUCUGGUUAUCGGUAUUCCACAUCAUAACAUCACAUAGUGCACUGGGAGUUAAAGAGUUAAUGCUCCAGUUCCAUGGAUCGUGGAUAGUUCCGGGUUCCUGGUUCUCAGAAGAGAGGAGGAACUACAUUUCCCAGAGGAUUCCUUGCUGUUCUGUUACCAUUUUCCAUUCAGAGGGAAAGAUAAAAACUGUUCAUAUAUCAUGAGACAUCCCUUUUUUACUUGCUCCCUUCCUGCUCAUCCCGGCAGCAUCUCUCUCCCUAGCUGUCUUGCCACCAGCAUUAGAGUAAGGCCUUUUGUUUUUUUUUGGACACUCUCUCUCAUUUUAUUUGAUUUAUUAGCUUCAAUUCCAAUUAUAUUGUAUUAUAUUAUAUGUCUUUCAACCUUUUUCAACCUAGAAGACUAUUUGUCAAUAAAUAUAUCAAAAUGUCCA
Molecule: long non-coding RNA, 2205 nt
Organism: Numida meleagris (helmeted guineafowl)
Lineage: Eukaryota; Metazoa; Chordata; Aves; Galliformes; Numididae
Exons: 2
Source: RefSeq, a predicted model, not a curated record